AUUGAACGCUGGCGGCAGGCCUAACACAUGCAAGUCGAGCGGCAGCGGAAGGAAGCUUGCUUUCUUGCCGGCGAGCGGCGGACGGGUGAGUAAGGUAUGGGGAUCUGGCCGAAGGCGGGGGAUAACCACUGGAAACGGUGGCUAAUACCGCAUAAUCUCUAAGGAGCAAAGUGGGGGACCGUUCAGGCCUCACACCUUCGGAUGAACCCAUAUGAGAUUAGCUAGUAGGUGGGGUAAUGGCUCACCUAGGCGACGAUCUCUAGCUGGUCUGAGAGGAUGAUCAGCCACACUGGGACUGAGACACGGCCCAGACUCCUACGGGAGGCAGCAGUGGGGAAUGUUGCACAAUGGGCGCAAGCCUGAUGCAGCCAUGCCGCGCGUAUGAAGAAGGCCUUCGGGUUGUAAAGUACUUUCAGUCGUGAGGAAGGUGUUAAGGUUAAUAACCUUAGCAAUUGACGUUAGCGACAGAAGAAGCACCGGCUAACUCCGUGCCAGCAGCCGCCGUAA
Molecule: ribosomal RNA, 507 nt
Filed under: uncultured bacterium
Lineage: Bacteria
Description: partial 16S ribosomal RNA
Rfam family: Bacterial small subunit ribosomal RNA
Source: RNAcentral